RNAcentral lists this ribosomal RNA (465 nucleotides) under uncultured bacterium. Its description in RNAcentral is "partial 16S ribosomal RNA". It matches the Rfam family "Bacterial small subunit ribosomal RNA", at positions 339 to 795 of the family's 1533-position model. The record is from RNAcentral.
CUACGGGGUGCUCCAGUGGGGAAUAUUGGACAAUGGGGGAAACCCUGAUCCAGCAAUGUCGCGUGUGUGAAGAAGGCCUGCGGGUUGUAAAGCACUUUCGGUUGGGAGGACUGCUUCUAGCACUAAUAUUGUUGGAAGUUGACGUUACCUUCAGAAGAAGCACCGGCUAACUCCGUGCCAGCAGCCGCGGUAAUACGGAGGGUGCAAGCGUUAAUCGGAAUUACUGGGCGUAAAGCGCGCGUAGGCGGCUAGAUCAGUCGGGUGUGAAAGCCCCGGGCUUAACCUGGGAACUGCAUCCGAUACUGUCUAGCUUGAGUACAGGAGAGGAGAGUGGAAUUCCACAUGUAGCGGUGAAAUGCGUAGAUAUGUGGAGGAACACCAAUGGCGAAGGCAGCUCUCUGGCCUGAUACUGACGCUGAGGUGCAAAAGCGUGGGGAGCAAACAGGAUUAGAUACCCGGGUAGUC